Long non-coding RNA from Cavia porcellus (domestic guinea pig), 1650 nucleotides. RefSeq lists it as uncharacterized. The transcript is spliced from 5 exons. NCBI's taxonomy places the organism in Eukaryota, Metazoa, Chordata, Mammalia, Rodentia, Caviidae. The record is from RefSeq and is a predicted model, not a curated record.
UCUGCUUCUAGCUGGCUUUCCUUUCUGCUUUAGGUCUCCAUUAGCAGAAGGUGCCUUCAGAGGGUCACACUUUCUACACAUGGUCUUCCAGGAGGCCCGCCUUUGGGAGGCCCUGGAAGGAGGCAGUCCCAAGCAUCAGAGAGAAGAGAAUUGUUUUAUACUACUUUAUCUGAACUCAUUGUGUAUGAAGAUAUGGACAACUAUUUCAAAGAAAACAAGAGAAAUUAUGAAGAAGAGAGAGAGACAGACACACAGGAAGACAUAUGAAGGCACAGUGGGAAGGCAGUCACGGGAUGCAGAGGUGGAGGUCCGAGUUCUGUUGGGACAAGCCUGGAAACUCCUGGGCCCAGCAAGAGACAGAAGACAGAGAAGCUCGGCCUUGCUGCUGUCAUGAUUUCAGAGCUUUUGCCUCAAAGAAUGAGAGAGAGGUGCAAGAGAUCUGCUCACACUGAGACUCAAAGAAUCUAGUUGAGAACCCAUGGCAAUGUCCUGCAUGAGUCCAGCUGGAGGUCUAGAGCCCACGACAAUGUCUUAUGCAAGUCCACAUCAAGAUUUGCACUGGGAAGGCCAAAGGUGGAAGCUAGAAAGUCUUUACUAGAAGGAUGAAGGGUCUCUGCCAGCAGGCUGAGGAUCUGCAUUGGAGCCAGGAAAUGACACUCAAAGUAAGGACUAGAGCUUCCCAGAAGAGAACUGCACCCAUCCUCAGCAACAGCGAAGACCUGAGCUCCUCCAAUAAUGAGAACAGCUGAGAUCAUAUCAAGAAAACCUGCAUGACAAGCUUCUCCAGCAACAGCAUGCUGUCUUCCCUUCUGGCUCUUCUUAUACACUGUUGGCAGCAAUCCUCAAGUGGGCCUUCCAUGCCCAAAACCACACUAACUCAGUUUAGCUGGAUGUUCCAAGCCGAUCAUUAGUUAAUCCACCACAGGCACUGUGCUUUCCCUUCCCUGGAAAUAAAUGGUCAGUUUUCACCCAGAGUGGAGGAAAAGCAGGUUCCUAGCAGUGUGCUGUCAGGGUGUAGGGGGGUCCAGGCACUUAGCAGAUAUCAUCCAAUAUUCAUUAAUUUAUAUGCUCUCUCACCCCAGCUUUGCUCUGAGCACCAAUAACCUGAUGCUAUACUUUGCUUAAUUUUUCUGAGUAUUCUCUUGGAUAAAUAGUUGAUGCAUGGACUUUGCUGCUACUGAUUAGGAAUUCAGCUGAGUAAGGCUGCCUAGUCUGUUGCCUCUCAUUCAUAAGCUCUAUAGCUCCCCAAGUUCUGUUGUUUUUGCCUCUUUUACAUCCCCUGUGGAUUUAUGUCUUAACAAUUCCACCACAUUGGUCAUAGGGAGGCUUGUUGAGGGACUGAGAUCAACUGCACAGGUCCCUGUGAUCUCUGCAUUUGGGAGGUUGUGAUAUUUUCAGCCUUGUCUGGAGUGCUGUUUUGGAAGUAAAGAUAAGUAUAUCUCAAGUCCAUUUAAGAAUCCUCUUUCCAGCAUUACUUGUCCAAAAUGGUAUUUUGGACCAAACACGUACUAUUCAGCAAAACUCAUAAUAUGUAUAUAUAUUUAUAUUAUAUAUAAUAUAUGUGUACACAUAUUACUUUACGACAGAAGGAACCACGUUUCUAUGAGAUGCCUUUCUCAAGGACCUUACCGUGCCUUUCCAUCUACUUGC